CCUGGCAUUGUGUUCACGCCAUUAUAUUGCCCGUCUUACAUUAAGUUUUUUUACAUUAAAACACUCCCUUUCUUUGCCCGUCGACCCUGUCCGUGUCUCUGCUCGUCAAAACGCCUGUUGUCGCUAUCCGUCACCCCACGGCCUUUUCCUCUGCCCGACGACUUACUCUCUUGUCGCCAAAACGCCCACUGCAGUGGCCCAUUGACCAUUUGAUUUUGCAUUCGUCAGUCCCUUUGGCACUGUCUCUGCCCGUCAAAACACCUGUUGUAUCUGUCCGUCAAUCCACUUUUUGCCUCUUUAAAGAAAUCUAUACUCUAUAAAAAACAAGGAAAUUGGGGGAGAAGCCUGUCCCGCUGUGCAUUUGUUCUGAUUGGCUGGCGUCAAAACCGCCGCCGGCUGUAGUGAAUUUGAGGAAUGUUGUGAUUCGCUGGCGUCAAAACGUCUGCUACAGUGAAUUGAUGGAAUGGGGAUUUGGAAAACUAAACUGCGGGUUGCGGAUUUGGGAAAUUUUUUAGUCUACGGGCUUUUCAGUCCACGGGCUUUCAGCCGACGGGCAGAGACUGUACGGUUGAAGACGGGCAACUACAGCGUUUUUUUUUGGUGGGCAAAGGGGGUUGACGGGCAGAGCUAUUCGAGAAAAAACGGGCAAAGGGAAAAAAGUGGUUGGACGGGCAACUACAGCGGGCGUUUUCCUGGCUGAGACUGUGAGGGAAAGACGGGCAAAAGCAAAUGAAAAGGUGAAUGGGUAACUAUAUUGAACGUUUUGGCGGACUUUGAAUUUUGGGGGUUUUAAAAAACAUAAUGGCUAUCAAUCAGAGCAGACAAAGUUUUAUCCACUCUUUGUACUGUUUAUUAAAAACUCUUAGAAAUAAAAAAAAAUAUUGCAAAUAAUUUGAAUAAAAAAUACAAAUAAUUAAAACAUGAACGGCAACAAGCUGCAUUGCACCGCCUCCGGUGACCAAGUGUGAAGUACACUUUCCGUCCAAAAACUUAGAAGGGAGUUAACUUCAAAGGAUAGGGAGGGGUAUUGAUAAAAAUUAUUUUUGAAAAAAUAACAUUAAAUCUAUAUUAAGUAAGGAAUGUUAUAUCUUUUGGGAAAAAAGAACUUUUUUAGCUCAACUCUAAGCAUUUUAUUUAAAAUUUAAAAAACCUAGUCUUAGCAUACGCUUAUAGGGAAAAACCGGGUGUGCCUAUUUUGUGAACGAGGACCUAGAGCCUUAGCGGUAAGUUCUACAAAAAAACUAAGUGUUAGUGAAUUGUAGAUCACGACUUUAUCUGAUCAGCAAAAAUAAAAAAAAAAUCUACCUGUAUCCAUUAAAUAGCAAUGGGAGUUUAAGUGACACCGUAGCGCCAUAAGAAUACACGUAAAUGGGGGAGGUGUGCCUAAUAAUUUGGUGAGUACUGUACCUCUACAACAAGCGUUUUGGUGGGCAGAAAGUGGUUUUACGGGCAGAGAUGGAGACGGGAGGGGCAGAGAGGGAGUCGACGGGAAACUUCAGCUGGGUUAAGGGCAGGCAGAGAAAGUGAGGGGAUGGACGGGCAGAAACAGUGAAUGGGUCGAGGGAAAGGAAAGGGAAUUCCUGAUUUGUAAAAACAAUUCAGGGCAGACGAGUGAAAAAUAGGCAUGGGUCAAUUUUUUUAAAAAUUGCGUUAAAAUACGUUAGCGCCACCUAUCCCCCGGCCCUGGGUGUGCCCAAAGCUACUUGCCUAUACUAAAUAAAAAAAACAAGGAAAAAGAGAGGCACCUGUCACGCUGUGCAUGUGUUUUGAUUGGCUGGCAGAGAGACUACGCCAAAACCGCCGUCGGCUGUAGUGAAUUGGCGGGAUGGGGAUUGGAAGACUAAAAUGUGAGUGGAAAUGCGGAUUUGGGUAAUUUUUCGGUCUACGGGGUUUGCGUAAACGGGUGCGCAACGGCACGUAUGACGACGUGAAAUAAGUGAAUUGACGGGCAACCACAGCGGGCGUUUUCCUGGCUGAGACUCUGAGGGAAAGACGGGCAAAAGCAAAAGAAAAGGUCAAUGGGCCACUAUUGCAGCUCUUUUGGCGGGUAGCGAGUGGGCCGACGGACAGUGAGGAGGCUGACGAGCAGCGAAGGGGCCGACGGGCAGAGAGGGGGCCGACGGCAGAGAGGGUGGCCGACGGGCAGCAAGUUGGUGGACGGACAACUAUAGCGGGCGUUUUGCCUGGCGGAGACUAUGACAAAAGAUUGGCCAAAUACGGAAAAAUGUAGAUGUUCCCCCAGCAGGCAUUUUGGGGGCAGAAUUUGGGUUGACGGGCAGAAUGUGAGAUGACGGGCAGAAAGUGGGUUGACUGACUGAAAGUGGUUUGACGGGCAUUGAGGGGGUCGACGGCCAGCUUCUGUUGUUUUCUUAACGAACAGAGAAAGUGAGGGUAUGGACGGGCAGAAACAGUGGGUGCGUCGGCGGGCAAUAAAAGGGAGCUGUGAAAAUAAUUAAAAGUAGACGGCCGGAAAAAUGGAGUUGAUCGAUUUGCUUCAAAAUAGCGUUAGAAUACGCUAGCGCCACCUAUACCCCGGCUCUGGACGCGCUCAAAGUUACUAGUAAUUUUAAUUAAAUCAACGUAGCGUAUUAGUUUGAAUUUCUUAGUUGGUGACAAACAAGUAUUUUCGCGGAAAGAAAAGGGUUUUUCUAAUGCCGACAGAGAUACUAGUCUCAGAAAAACUUAUAAAUAUUUUUUAAACAAUUAAAGCUAAGUUUUAUUUUUCGUUUUUCGUAUCUCAAAAGAAAUGACGCUCUAGAAGUUUAGCAAACAUAAAAAAAUGGCAGGAGUUACACCUAGGGUGAUACAGUAUUGUUCACUUGAUUAGGUUCAUCCAGACUUGCCGCGCCGAUUAAUUUUCCGAUAUCGAUCGGAUCGGCGAUUAAAUUUUGCCGAUCAUUUUUACCGAUUAUUUCUGUGCCAAAUCUAAUGCUUAAAAUUCACACUGUUUAAUGAAUGUAGCAUUGGCUGUCACAGCGACAGCCAAUGACAUCAUUGUGGAUUAACACAAAACAGUUUUUUCAAUUGGCAUUGGACAGAAAUAGUAGUGAAAGAGAACUAUGCAACUGCAAAAUCUACAGCUAGACGGUGAAAAUUUUUAUCGCUCACCACGAGAAAAAUGCAUGAAAAAAGGGCUGUACCUAAUCGUUUGGUGGGCACUGUAUAAUGUCGAAAUAAUUUACCAUUGAUAAAUAAGCUUUUAAAAGUACGUAUUUAAAAUCAGUCUUUCCCUAAAUGAAUGAGUAUACUGGUGUAGUUAUUUUUAACUAGAGAAAGAAGAACAUAAAGAGAAAAAGAACAUAAUGGACAAUUGUCAACUUACUGUUUGGAACCCUUCACAAAAUGGCAAAACUAGGAAACACAUCAAAUAGCAGGAAGUAAAAAUCUUCUGUAAAAUCGAAACUCCACUCUCAGAAGACACGUUCUAUCCUGCUUACACCUGUCGUUGUUAUAAACCUGUGACUGGGACAUCUAUCGGCAUUUGGACGAAAUUCGCUGACGUGCCUGUACAGCAUCCUGCACAAAAAGGUUGGGUUUGGCGCCAAAACACGAAAAGUUGGGUUGGGUAAUUUAAUUCUAGACAUCUUUUUCUAAUGCCCCAGGUGUUAUGGAAAAUGUCUGGAAAAGGUGGUGUAUUGUCUUUUUUUGUUAUACCCACAAACCCCUUCUCGCAGGCUAAGAUAAAAAAUAUGUUGUAAAAACAUUGUUACCUCCAUUACCCGCUUUGAUCAACAUCGACUCAACAUUAUGAGAAACAUUUUUACAUUAUCCCGCUAUUGAACCACUGCUAUCCGUAUCGGAACUCAACAUUACGGGAAACACUUUCACAUUAUCUCGGUAUCUAUAUAUUCACGUAUUUCAUGGAGGCUGAAAAAUAGGAAUAAAUGGAGAAAUAAUUUUUUUAUAUUUAUAUGUUAUAUCAUUUACAUACCAUAAUUCUGAAC
This is a long non-coding RNA of Daphnia carinata, 3944 nucleotides long. RefSeq lists it as uncharacterized. The transcript has 4 exons. NCBI's taxonomy places the organism in Eukaryota, Metazoa, Arthropoda, Branchiopoda, Diplostraca, Daphniidae. The record is from RefSeq and is a predicted model, not a curated record.